RNAcentral lists this long non-coding RNA (239 nucleotides) under Brassica napus (rape). RNAcentral describes it as "long non-coding RNA (BNAP_LNC007190)". The record is from RNAcentral. Lineage: Eukaryota; Viridiplantae; Streptophyta; Magnoliopsida; Brassicales; Brassicaceae.
GGGGGGAUUCAGUGUACAUAGUAUGAUUUGAUGCUUUGAUGAUUAGGAUGAAAUGGAAUAGAUAGUCAAUAGUAUUUCAGUUUUGUACAGAAUAAAAUAUCGAGCGUAUUAAUUUUUUUUUAAGAAAAGAAUAAAACUCGUAUCCGUUUUAUGGGAAUCGAUUCUACAGUAGGUUUAAGUUUGACGUUGUACUAAAUUAAGCAACGUAUAGAAAGAACAUUCGAAGAUAUUCGUUUUAU